This 32-nucleotide non-coding RNA is filed under the name unclassified sequences. The record is from RNAcentral.
CUAUGGUUUUCAAAAAACUAUGGCGGAAGGAG